Etheostoma cragini (Arkansas darter) is the source of this 673-nucleotide non-coding RNA. Lineage: Eukaryota; Metazoa; Chordata; Actinopteri; Perciformes; Percidae. The record is from the annotation of a RefSeq genome assembly.
UUCAAUAUGAUGUAGUCUAGAAUCACUUUACCUUAGAAGUGUAACUGAGAGAAGAGAAACUACAGAGCUACGAGGAGACGGAGAGACUCAGGGAGGAGCUGAGCUGUUACUGAACUAUAGAAGAGAGAGGAACUUCUAGAUUCAACAGAGAUCAAUACACACACCAUCAACUUUACCUUUAUUCAACAUGCCGCCACUGCAGCAUUGGGGGUUUUAUCUGAUCUUUCUCUCCAUCCUCACAGGAGUCAGCUGUGAAGAACUCACUCCAGUAGAGAAAGAGGAGAACAGUUUAGAAGACAGCUCUGUUACUCUGUCCUACAGAUACUCCAAAGGUUCUGCUGAUUAUUUCUUCUGGUAUAGACAAUAUCCAGGAAAACCCCCAGAGUUCCUCAUCUCUCACUUUGGAACGCAAAAUGCAACAAAGUCUGGACUGUCUGCUUCAGUGAGUGAGGAUAAAACCAAAAUACAUAUGCAGAUCUUCUCUGCUAAGCUGUCUGACUCUGCUGUGUACUACUGUGCUCUGAGGCCCACAGUGACAGGAAACACCAAAACUCUGUACAAAAACCUUUGGAGCAAAGACAACACAAUACUCCACAACAUCCACCAGAGGGUGACACACUCUGUUACACUUCAAUUUGAUGUAGUCUAGAAUCACUUUACCUUAGAAGUGUAA